RNAcentral lists this ribosomal RNA (253 nucleotides) under uncultured bacterium. RNAcentral's name for it is "partial 16S ribosomal RNA". It matches the Rfam family "Bacterial small subunit ribosomal RNA", at positions 524 to 776 of the family's 1533-position model. The record is from RNAcentral.
UACAGAGGAUGCAAGCGUUGUCCGGAAUCACUGGGCGUAAAGCGCGUGUAGGUGGAAGAGGAAGUCUGCUGUGAAAGCGCCUGGCUUAACCGGGCGAGGUCGGUGGAAACUCCUCAUCUGGAGGGCGGUAGAGGGGGGUGGAAUUCCGGGUGUAGUGGUGAAAUGCGUAGAGAUCCGGAGGAACACCUGUGGCGAAGGCGGCCCCCUGGGCCGCACCUGACGCUGAGACGCGAAAGCGCGGGGAGCGAACGGG